ACUUAAAUAGCUCAAAUUUUAGAGUAUAAUAUUGAAGAUAUUAAGGUGAUAAUUUAUCUUUAGGUA
Molecule: transfer RNA, 66 nt
Filed under: Appias lyncida
Lineage: Eukaryota; Metazoa; Arthropoda; Insecta; Lepidoptera; Pieridae
Description: tRNA-Phe
Source: RNAcentral